This 497-nucleotide ribosomal RNA is filed under the name uncultured bacterium. Its description in RNAcentral is "partial 16S ribosomal RNA". It matches the Rfam family "Bacterial small subunit ribosomal RNA", at positions 28 to 507 of the family's 1533-position model. The record is from RNAcentral.
GAUGAACGCUGGCGGCGUGCCUAAUACAUGCAAGUCGAGCGAACGGACGAGAAGCUUGCUUCUCUGAUGUUAGCGGCGGACGGGUGGGUAACACGUGGAUAACCUACCUAUAAGACUGGGAUAACUUCGGGAAACCGGAGCUAAUACCGGAUAAUAUUUUGAACCGCAUGGUUCAAAGGUGAAAGACGGUCUUGCUGUCACUUAUAGAUGGAUCCGCGCUGCAUUAGCUAGUUGGUAAGGUAACGGCUUACCAGGGCAACGAUGCAUAGCCGACCUGAGAGGGUGAUCGGCCACACUGGAACUGAGACACGGUCCAGACUCCUACGGGAGGCAGCAGUAGGGAAUCUUCCGCAAAGGGCGAAAGCCUGACGGAGCAACGCCGCGUGAGUGAUGAAGGUCUUCGGAUCGUAAAACUCUGUUAUUAGGGAAGAACAUAUGUGUAAGUAACUGUGCACAUCUUGACGGUACCUAAUCAGAAAGCCACGGCUAACUACGUG